RNAcentral lists this ribosomal RNA (207 nucleotides) under uncultured bacterium. RNAcentral describes it as "partial 16S ribosomal RNA". It matches the Rfam family "Bacterial small subunit ribosomal RNA", at positions 568 to 774 of the family's 1533-position model. The record is from RNAcentral.
CGUGUAGGUGGACUGAUCAGUCGGGUGUGAAAUAUCCAGGCUCAACCUGGAGGGUGCAUCCGAUACGGUCAGUCUUGAGUGCAGGAGAGGGCAGUGGAAUUCCCAGUGUAGCGGUGAAAUGCGUAGAUAUUGGGAGGAACACCAGUGGCGAAGGCGGCUGCCUGGACUGUAACUGACACUGAGGCGCGAAAGCGUGGGGAGCAAACA